GAUGAAAACGCAGCGAAAUGCGAUAAGUAAUGCGAAUUGCAGAAUUCCAGUGAGUCAUCGAAUCUUUGAACGCACAUUGCGCCCUUUGGUAUUCCGAAGGGCAUGCCUGUUCGAGCGUCAUUAUCACCCCUCAAGCCCUCGGCUUGGUGUUGGACGGUUUGGUGGAGGCCCCCUCGGGGGCUCCUGCCCCUCCCAAAGACAAUGACGGCGGCCUCGUUGGACCCCCGGUACACUGAGUUCUUCACGGGACACGUAUCGGACACAUGGGUUUACGGGACACGGUCUGCCUCCCCUCAGGGAGAAUCUUUCUAAGGUUGACCUCGGAUCAGGUAGGGAUACCCGCUGAACUUAAGCAUAUCAAUAAGCGGAGGA
This 372-nucleotide unclassified non-coding RNA is filed under the name soil metagenome. RNAcentral's name for it is "partial contains 5.8S ribosomal RNA, internal transcribed spacer 2, and large subunit ribosomal RNA". The stretch from base 1 to 120 matches the Rfam family "5.8S ribosomal RNA", at positions 35 to 154 of the family's 154-position model. The record is from RNAcentral.